This 350-nucleotide ribosomal RNA is filed under the name uncultured Virgibacillus sp. RNAcentral describes it as "bacterial SSU rRNA". It matches the Rfam family "Bacterial small subunit ribosomal RNA", at positions 790 to 1140 of the family's 1533-position model. The record is from RNAcentral. Lineage: Bacteria; Bacillati; Bacillota; Bacilli; Caryophanales; Bacillaceae.
GUAGUCCACGCCGUAAACGAUGAGUGCUAGGUGUUAGGGGGUUUCCGCCCCUUAGUGCUGAAGUUAACGCAUUAAGCACUCCGCCUGGGGAGUACGGCCGCAAGGCUGAAACUCAAAAGAAUUGACGGGGGCCCGCACAAGCGGUGGAGCAUGUGGUUUAAUUCGAAGCAACGCGAAGAACCUUACCAGGUCUUGACAUCCUCUGACAGCGAUAGAGAUAUCGUGUUCCCUUCGGGGACAGAGUGACAGGUGGUGCAUGGUUGUCGUCAGCUCGUGUCGUGAGAUGUUGGGUUAAGUCCCGCAACGAGCGCAACCCUUGAUCUUAGUUGCCAGCAUUCAGUUGGGCACUC